This 253-nucleotide ribosomal RNA is filed under the name uncultured bacterium. RNAcentral describes it as "partial 16S ribosomal RNA". It matches the Rfam family "Bacterial small subunit ribosomal RNA", at positions 524 to 776 of the family's 1533-position model. The record is from RNAcentral.
UACGUAGGGACCGAGCGUUGUCCGGAAUCAUUGGGUGUAAAGGGUCCGCAGGCGGAUGUGUAAGUCGGAGGUGAAAUCUUCCCGCUCAACGGGAAAACUGCUUUCGAUACUGCACGUCUUGAGUACGGGAGAGGGUGGUGGAAUUCCUGGUGUAGCGGUGAAAUGCGUAGAUAUCAGGAAGAACACCGGUAGCGAAGGCGGCCACCUGGCCCGUUACUGACGCUCAGGGAAGAAAGCGUGGGGAGCAAACAGG